Molecule: ribosomal RNA, 280 nt
Filed under: uncultured bacterium
Lineage: Bacteria
Description: partial 16S ribosomal RNA
Rfam family: Bacterial small subunit ribosomal RNA
Source: RNAcentral
ACUCCUACGGGAGGCAGCAGUGGGAAUAUUGCACAAUGGGGAAAGCCCAUCGAUGCAGCCAUGCCGCGUGUGUGAAGAAGGCCAAUUCGGGCUUGGUUAAAGACACUUUCAGUAGGGAGGAAGGUAGUGUAGUUAACACCUGCACUAUUUGACGUUACCUACAGAAGAAGCACCGGCUAACUCCGUGCCAGCAGCCGCGGUAAUACGGAGGGUGCGAGCGUUAAUCGGAAUUACUGGGCGUAAAGCGCAUGCAGGCGGCCUGUUAAGCGAGAUGUGAAAG